This 518-nucleotide ribosomal RNA is filed under the name uncultured bacterium. RNAcentral's name for it is "bacterial SSU rRNA". It matches the Rfam family "Bacterial small subunit ribosomal RNA", at positions 349 to 858 of the family's 1533-position model. The record is from RNAcentral.
CAGCAGUGGGGAAUUUUGGACAAUGGGGGCAACCCUGAUCCAGCCAUGCCGCGUGAGUGAAGAAGGCCUUCGGGUUGUAAAGCUCUUUCGGCGGGGAAGAAAUGGCAACGGCUAAUAUCCGUUGUUGAUGACGGUACCCGCAUAAGAAGCACCGGCUAACUACGUGCCAGCAGCCGCGGUAAUACGUAGGGUGCGAGCGUUAAUCGGAAUUACUGGGCGUAAAGCGUGCGCAGGCGGUUUCGUAAGACAGACGUGAAAUCCCCGGGCUCAACCUGGGAACUGCGUUUGUGACUGCGAGGCUAGAGUACGGCAGAGGGGGGUAGAAUUCCACGUGUAGCAGUGAAAUGCGUAGAGAUGUGGAGGAAUACCGAUGGCGAAGGCAGCCCCCUGGGUUAGUACUGACGCUCAUGCACGAAAGCGUGGGGAGCAAACAGGAUUAGAUACCCUGGUAGUCCACGCCCUAAACGAUGUCAACUAGGUGUUGGAAGGGUUAAACCUUUUAGUACCGCAGCUAACGC